This 3738-nucleotide long non-coding RNA is filed under the name Podarcis lilfordi (Lilford's wall lizard). The record is from RNAcentral. Lineage: Eukaryota; Metazoa; Chordata; Lepidosauria; Squamata; Lacertidae.
GUCUUUUUUGGCGAUUUCCCUUAAAAAUAGCUCAAAAAUUUCAUUUUUUGUUGUUGAGCUUUUGCAAAAAUAAUAAAAAAAAUUGUGCAGUGUGGGUACUGAGCUCCCAAAACAAUUUUUUGUGGGUGCUCAGGCACCCACAAACCCACUUUAGUUGGCGUCCCUGCAGGAGGUUAUUAACAUGAAGAAAGGAUAGAGCCACAUAUAUGAUUUUGGUAUAGCUCCCUUGUGCUUUUGGUACAAAAUGCAAAAAAUUCGGUUUUUACAGUGGGGUGCUACAUUUUCUAUCCCACAAAGAACACUUUUUGAUACAUGCACAAUUCCAGAUUUGCUACUUCAUUUUUAAACACGCAGUUUGUGUGGGCUGAUUCAAUGAAGCCUAAAAGGACAGGUAUAAUCCCUGAUGCAGAUCAUUAGAUAUGUCUGUCCUCAGCUGCUUGGCUUGGCUGGCUCAGCUCACAGAUGACGCGGGAGAGAAGUUGGCACUGGCUGAGCUCCUCUUUAGCUGGAGUGGCUUACUGUGAAAGCAAAAUCAACGGGGUGGAUCUGUUAGUCAUUCUUCCAAUAUGAAGCAGAUGAAAAACAAAGUGGCUGAAGCUGGACUGACACCAUCAGAUGGUGAGUCGUGGUUUUAUUCGGGGCCUACAGAUGUUUUUCUCAGCAAAAAGAAAGCACAGGGAAUGUGUGUUGUCUAUGAUAUUUGUCUACGUAGUGGCCAGUGAGGUGGAGUGAUCUUGCUCACUUGGCUCCAAGAGGUCACUGUCAAUAACUGCGCGGGGUGGGCACAGGGGUGGGCCCAAUCCACUUCUCUCUCUGCAGCACACAGCAGCCGGAGUGGUGGAUUGGCAGCACAAGUACACCGCGCCAACCUGCUUCCUGCCUCACCCCACUCCCUCUCUGUUACCAGUAGUGAUCACCAUGUUCGGAAGCCAAGUGAGCAACACCACCCUGCCAGCUGCUACUGGAAGUCCAAGUUCAAAAUGGCUGCAGUUCUAAUACUCAUUCCCCUAGGCUGCAAUCCUUUACUCACUUAACUGGGUUGUAUAAACACCGACAACUGGGAAACACUGGCCUACGAGUGCUCCGAUUGGAGAACAGUCUUUAACAAACGUGUCAUGGACUUUGAAGACGCUCAAACUCAGGAUGAAAGGGAGAAAUGUGCUAAGAGGAAGGCAUGUUUGGCAAACCCUCACCCUGAUCAACUCCUGCCUGGAAACAAAUGUCCACACUGUGGAAGGAUGUGUGGAUCCAGAAUUGGCCUCCACAGUAACUUACGGACUCACUGUUAAGACCGUGUUCAUGGAAGGAUGUGGGGUUUGCCCAUUCCGUGUGAUUAUGUUUGUACGGUGUGUGUGUGUAAAUGGUUAAUGUAGAAAAAGUUGAGCAUAGUGGUUGUGACAGUUAGAGAGAGAGACAGGGAUAGAACUGAGAGAGAAGAGUAUGACAGUGUGAGAUAGUGCCACAUCUAGUUAAGGGCGCGCAUUUGAGAAACCGUUCAGAACAUAUUUAAAAUUUGUUUGUUCUUCAAUAAACUUUAAUCUUCGUUGUUGACUUUACAACCUGACUGAGACACAGCAUUUCACCAGAAGAAACCUGGUUGGUGGCAGCGGAAGAAUAAAGCAGUGGUGUACAGGUCAAUAGUCCAUGAAAUGACCAGGGGCUCUGUAUGAACGCCACAAAGACAAUCUUACUUGGCUACGAGUGAUCGUCAAAGAAGAAGAAGAUUAACUGGAUGAUGAUGAUGAUAUUUAAUUUAUGAAUUGCUCGCAUGAGACAUCCCAAACUGGAUGUUAUCCCAAGUGAAACCAACAUAACUUCUGAGUCGACAUGUCUAGGAUUGCAUGGUUAGUGGGCAAAUGCAUGAAAUGUAUAUUUACCUGGCUGAGUAGGGAUUUGAACCCUGGUUUCCCAGGUCCUAGUCCAACACUCUAACCACUAACACCACACUGGCUAAUACAUACCCACACCCCAUAGUCAUUGGUGUAUGUUCCAAACUCUUGCUAUUCGGCUAAGUAGAUAUCAUUCUAUUUUUCUCUCUUAUCCCCCUUUUACUUGCUCCCUUCCCAACCCCUGUGUACAUUCCUGAUCUUUUGAAGAAUAUGGUUUCAAAAAGCUUUUAUUUGAAAGGUGAAUUAAGCCAGCUGAAAUAUCAAUUCAGCUCAUCAAACCUUUUCCUUGUUCGGAUAAAAGCUGUGUGUAUGAUCUUUAAAUGUUACAGCUAUUGUCGAACACAAAGAGAAAAGUAUGAGAGAGUUUCUUCUUUUGUUCCCGAUGUCUAUUUGUCAGUGGCUUUAAGAACAGACAAUGGCUUAAUUUAGGUUGGAUUUGGCAGCUGCUGCCUUUUGGGAAAGCCCUUAGAACAAAUAGGUGUGCAAAAUGCAAAAAAAUGUGACAAGAAAGCAGUUUGCAUUUUAACUCCUUGUUCUCCUAGCUGUCAUACGUUUCCAUUUUUGUAAGGGAAAUUCCCUUAUUCUGAAUAGGAUUCCUCGCAAGAAAAGGGAAAAGUUGACAGCUAUGAAGAUGCCCUGAAUCAAUUUCAUGGUGAAUCUUGAGGAAGGUUUGCAGACUGGCUUGGAACCAUGUGGGGCCACUUCCAGGCUUACAACCAGGCUGUGUUCACAAGGGAGUGCCAUUUUUGUGAUUGAACACCUCCACAUGGAUGGAAGUAGCAGAUUUUGUCAGCUGAGCAAUACAGAAAAAAUAUCAGCCACAAUAUGGAAACCUGAGCAGUCAUGAUGGUCAGGUCCAAAGAUGCAAACCUUGAAUAUGGCAUGUAAAAAGAUUGCAGAAACAACAUGCAGUUGAUGGGAGGUAUUUGCCAUCGGAAUAGAGCCUUACUGCGAAGACUGUGAGUUGGUCAGCAUGCACUGAUCUACACACAUAAAACAAAUUUACACAUAGGCAUCUUCCAAAAACCCAUCGUGUUUAUGGAAGACAAUCUUACUCGGCUACGAGUGAUCGCCAGAGAAGAAAGACAUAGGCUCAGUUUGUAGAUAUGUGCAAAGAAACCAUAUAUUAUAAAGACACCACAGUCUCCACUGUUACUAUGCCAGCAUGGUGUAGUGGUUAAGAGCGGUGGACUCAUAAUCAGGUGAACCGGGUUCGCUUCCCUGCUCCUCCACAUGCAACUGCUGGGUGAUCUUGGGCUAGUCAUACUUCUUUAAAGUCUCUCAGCCCCCCUCACCUCACAGAGUGUUUGUUGUGGGGGAGGAAAGGAAAAGAGAUUGUUGGCCACUUUGAGACUUCUUAAGGGAAGUGAAAGGCAGGAUAUCAAGUCCAAACUCUUCUCUCCUUCUUCUUCCUCCUCCUCCUCCUUCUCUUCUUCUUCUCCUUCUCCUUCUCCUCUCAUUCCAAGGAAACUGAAUCCUGCAUAAGCACCUGGAAUGCCUGGGAUCUUGUGCCACUUGGAGACAGAGGUGACAUGCAACUGUAUGAAUAACAUCAUAUCUAGGCCUGCCUUUAAUUUCUGUAUAUGUGGAAAAAGUGAAAAAGACUAUCUAUGGGAACUCUUUUAAAACUUUUUAAAGUUAGAUCCUGAUUCUUAACAGAUACUGUUUGUAUCUUUCCUGUGAUAAAGCCCACUACUAUGAGCAUUUCCUACAUUUUUAUCCUUCUCAAUAUAGCCAUGAACUCCCAAAUUGUUGCUAAUUUCCCAAGAACAGAUCAUAGAUAUAAAAGCCAAUCAAAUCCAAAACUAGCACGGGGGAUGCCUCUCGUUUGUUAGCAAUACAAAACAGC